GGUUGAGCGUCUAGCCCAUCUCUGCGUGACUUCCGCCAGCGUUUAGAGCGUUUUCGGGGUCCGAGUUGAAGAGCAAAACCAAGUGAAGGAAACUUCACUAAGUUCAGGGUGACAAGGGAGGAAGUACAGAGAAACAGAGCGCUUAAAAAGCACUGUCUGGAUAUCUUCAGAGGGAAAAAGGAGAAAGUUAACUGAAUUGGUGACACUUCGGGUCUCUCACAGAGGAAGACCUAUUAGAGUGCUAAGGAGAAGACAAGUUAUUAGCACCCAAAAGAAGCACCAGUGCGGAUGGAAAUACAAGGUUGACAUUCGCUGAGCUGUGUUUUUUUUUUCCAGGGAAAUGGUUAUUCUUGAUAUUUUGAGCAAACUCUUCUUCUCUGAUCAGUGCCCAGAACAAGGAAACAGGUUAGUCUCUCUGAGCCUUAGAUUCCUGAUCUGUAAAAUAAAGAUUAAGGAUAGUUCAUUUUAAACAAGGGUAAUGCUAUUUUCUACCCCUUAGGCUUAUAAGAGGAUAUGUACAGAGCCUGGUGAGUUUUAUAUCAUCUCAUCUUGAAGGCAAUCAAAACUCCUUCUGGGCCUCCAUGACACCCUGAUGGAGUGUCAGCAGUUAUUAAAG
Molecule: long non-coding RNA, 616 nt
Organism: Homo sapiens (human)
Lineage: Eukaryota; Metazoa; Chordata; Mammalia; Primates; Hominidae
Source: Ensembl